AGUGAGCGCUGGCGGUAGGCCUAACACAUGCAAGUCGAACGGCAGCACAGUAAGAGCUUGCUCUUACGGGUGGCGAGUGGCGGACGGGUGAGGAAUACAUCGGAAUCUACUUUUUCGUGGGGGAUAACGUAGGGAAACUUACGCUAAUACCGCAUACGACCUACGGGUGAAAGCAGGGGAUCUUCGGACCUUGCGCGAUUGAAUGAGCCGAUGUCGGAUUAGCUAGUUGGCGGGGUAAAGGCCCACCAAGGCGACGAUCCGUAGCUGGUCUGAGAGGAUGAUCAGCCACACUGGAACUGAGACACGGUCCAGACUCCUACGGGAGGCAGCAGUGGGGAAUAUUGGACAAUGGGCGCAAGCCUGAUCCAGCCAUACCGCGUGGGUGAAGAAGGCCUUCGGGUUGUAAAGCCCUUUUGUUGGGAAAGAAAAGCAGCAGGUUAAUACCCCGCUGUUCUGACGGUACCCAAAGAAUAAGCACCGGCUAACUUAGUG
RNAcentral lists this ribosomal RNA (492 nucleotides) under uncultured bacterium. Its description in RNAcentral is "partial 16S ribosomal RNA". It matches the Rfam family "Bacterial small subunit ribosomal RNA", at positions 29 to 507 of the family's 1533-position model. The record is from RNAcentral.